AGACACAGGGAUUGCCUCAGUAACGGCGAGUGAAGCGGCAACAGCUCAAAUUUGAAAUCUGGUCCUUUCAGGGCCCGAGUUGUAAUUUGUAGAAGAUGCUUCGGGCGUGGCUCCGGUCUAAGUUCCCUGGAACGGGACGUCAUAGAGGGUGAGAAUCCCGUAUGUGACUGGCUGCCUCCGCCCAUGUGAAGCUCUUUCGACGAGUCGAGUUGUUUGGGAAUGCAGCUCAAAAUGGGUGGUAAAUUUCAUCUAAAGCUAAAUAUUGGCCAGAGACCGAUAGCGCACAAGUAGAGUGAUCGAAAGAUGAAAAGCACUUUGGAAAGAGAGUUAAACAGUACGUGAAAUUGUUGAAAGGGAAGCGCUUGCAAUCAGACUUGCGCGCGGUCGAUCAUCCGGGGUUCUCCCCGGUGCACUCGGCCGCGCUCAGGCCAGCAUCGGUUUCGGUGGUGGGAUAAAGGCCUUGGGAAUGUGGCUCCUCUCGGGGAGUGUUAUAGCCCUCGGUGCAAUGCCGCCUACCGGGACCGAGGACCGCGCUUCGGCUAGGAUGCUGGCGUAAUGGUUGCAAGCGACCCGUCUUGAAACACGGACCAAGGAGUUGAAGACUGCCGCGAGUGUUUGGGUGUCAAACCCAUACGCGUAAUGAAAGUGAACGGAGGUGAGAACCCUUAAGGGUGCAUCAUCGACCGAUCCUGAAGUCUUCGGAUGGAUUUGAGUAAGAGCGGUAUUCUUCUGACCCGAAAGAUGGUGAACUAUGCCUGAAUAGGGUGAAGCCAGAGGAAACUCUGGUGGAGGCUCGCAGCGGUUCUGACGUGCAAAUCGAUCGUCAAAUUUGGGUAUAGGGGCGAAAGACUAAUCGAACCAUCUAGUAGCUGGUUUCCUGCCGAAGUCUCCCUCCAGGGAUAU
RNAcentral lists this ribosomal RNA (903 nucleotides) under Calycina citrina. Its description in RNAcentral is "partial large subunit ribosomal RNA". It matches the Rfam family "Eukaryotic large subunit ribosomal RNA", at positions 62 to 983 of the family's 3401-position model. Lineage: Eukaryota; Fungi; Ascomycota; Leotiomycetes; Helotiales; Pezizellaceae. The record is from RNAcentral.